This 189-nucleotide unclassified non-coding RNA is filed under the name uncultured Herpotrichiellaceae. Its description in RNAcentral is "sequence contains ITS2". The record is from RNAcentral. Lineage: Eukaryota; Fungi; Ascomycota; Eurotiomycetes; Chaetothyriales; Herpotrichiellaceae.
UCACCCUCAAGCCCCCUGGCUUGGUGUUGGACGGUCUGGUCUCGGGUUACCCGGGACCCCUCCUAAAAUCAACGACGGUGGCCCUGCGUGACCCCCGGUACACUGAGCUUCUUAACUGAGCACGUACCGGUCCAAGGGUAGGCAGGGUGCCGGUCCUCUUUCCUUCACCAGGAAAACUCUUUCCACAGG